UACGUAGGGUGCAAGCGUUAAUCGGAAUUACUGGGCGUAAAGCGUGCGCAGGCGGUGAUGUAAGACAGGUGUGAAAUCCCCGGGCUUAACCUGGGAACUGCAUUUGUGACUGCAUCGCUGGAGUGCGGCAGAGGGGGAUGGAAUUCCGCGUGUAGCAGUGAAAUGCGUAGAUAUCUGGAGGAACACCGGUGGCGAAGGCGGCAUCCUGGACCAACACUGACACUGAUGAGCGAAAGCCAGGGGAGCAAACGGG
RNAcentral lists this ribosomal RNA (253 nucleotides) under uncultured bacterium. Its description in RNAcentral is "partial 16S ribosomal RNA". It matches the Rfam family "Bacterial small subunit ribosomal RNA", at positions 524 to 776 of the family's 1533-position model. The record is from RNAcentral.